GGGCUUGGGUAUCAAGGAGUAGAGAUAUACAAUCACUUUCAGUCGGGUCCACGCCAUAGCCCUCCUCAAAAUCCGACACAGAUCACUUGAUCUGCAAGAAGCGAUCUUUCAUCAAUCCGGCCAUUUACACAAUCCUUCACAAUUUUCGAGCGGUAGAAGCUUUUAUAUGAUGAAUGGGACCUGCAAACUGGGAGGGAGGACAGCUGGUUCGCCUUGCCUACUAUUGCAGCA
Molecule: long non-coding RNA, 231 nt
Filed under: Coccomyxa subellipsoidea
Lineage: Eukaryota; Viridiplantae; Chlorophyta; Trebouxiophyceae; Coccomyxaceae
Description: long non-coding RNA (CSUB_LNC000793)
Source: RNAcentral